GGAGGGAUCGCAUAGUGGCCUAGUGCGCCCGCCUGCUAAGCGGGUUGGGGGUGAUGAGCUCCCUCGCGGGUUCGAAUCCCGCUCCCUCCGCCA
RNAcentral lists this transfer RNA (93 nucleotides) under Chloroflexota bacterium. RNAcentral's name for it is "Chloroflexi bacterium tRNA-Ser". It matches the Rfam family "tRNA". From Rfam's summary of the family: Transfer RNA (tRNA) molecules are approximately 80 nucleotides in length. Their secondary structure includes four short double-helical elements and three loops (D, anti-codon, and T loops). Further hydrogen bonds mediate the characteristic L-shaped molecular structure. tRNAs have two regions of fundamental functional importance: the anti-codon, which is responsible for specific mRNA codon recognition, and the 3' end, to which the tRNAs corresponding amino acid is attached (by aminoacyl-tRNA synthetases). tRNAs cope with the degeneracy of the genetic code in two manners: having more than one tRNA (with a specific anti-codon) for a particular amino acid; and 'wobble' base-pairing, i.e. permitting non-standard base-pairing at the 3rd anti-codon position. Lineage: Bacteria; Bacillati; Chloroflexota. The record is from RNAcentral. RNAcentral also lists the same sequence under 2 other names.